Molecule: ribosomal RNA, 468 nt
Filed under: uncultured bacterium
Lineage: Bacteria
Description: partial 16S ribosomal RNA
Rfam family: Bacterial small subunit ribosomal RNA
Source: RNAcentral
GACGAACGCUGGCGGCGUGCUUAACACAUGCAAGUCGAACGGAAAGGCCCUGCUUUUGUGGGGUGCUCGAGUGGCGAACGGGUGAGUAACACGUGAGUAACCUGCCCUUGACUUUGGGAUAACUUCAGGAAACUGGGGCUAAUACCGGAUAGGAGCCCCUGCUGCAUGGUGGGGGUUGGAAAGUUUCGGCGGUUGGGGAUGGACUCGCGUCUUAUCAACUUGUUGGUGGGGUAGUGGCUUACCAAGGCUUUGACGGGUAGCCGGCAUGAGAGGGUGACCGGCCACAUUGGGACUGAGAGACCGCACAGACUUCUACGGGAGGCAGCAGUGGGGAAUAUUGCACAAUGGGCGGAAGCCUGAUGCAGCAACGCCGCGUGCGGGAUGACGGCCUUCGGGUUGUAAACCGCUUUCGCCUGUGACGAAGCGUGAGUGACGGUAAUGGGUAAAGAAGCACCGGCUAACUACGUG